GUAAUACAGUUUUUAAUCUUCAGAAGUUAUAAAUCAAAACGAUCUGAUGGUUUGCUUUGUAUAACUUCUGAAGAUUAAAAACUGUAUUACAGGAUCAGUAGCAUUGGAGGAAAAAAGAAAAACUAUUGCAGUUUAUUUUUCUAUAUAAUUAUACAUAAGCAUGAACUUGUUCUCAAACUUCAUAUUGCUCAAGCUGGACGUCCUUAGCCUUCAAAGGAACAUACUCUCCAAGCAGAUAAACUUCAAGGUGAUCUGAUAGGGCUGAUUUGUCGAUGUUUUCAUGGUGAUAUGAUUUGCAGACGAAGUAAAUCACUGUUUGGAUUACAAGUAAAAACAGGAACAACUUAAGAAGCAACAAGAAACAAAUUAUCCCAUAUGAUACCCUAUUCACCAUGCCUAAGGAUCUUCCAUGGACCACCAGCUUCUCAAAUGCUACCUGAAUUACGAAUAGAGACACAUUCAGCUUGAAGAAUAUGAUGGUUGUUACCCACAUCUUACCUUUUAUCAGAGCCCUGCUCUUCACCAUGGCCUUAACUCCACAAGCCUCCUCUAACACGGACACAACACUAGACAGCUGCCAAAUUAUACUCAUGUACACAAUACCCACGAAAUACAAAAUCAAUAAACCAAUGAAAGUCAACACCCCAAUACUUGUUUCUGAAAUAAAAAAAAGCCCAUGCGAUAAAGAGCAGGACAGCAACUAUGUUGUAGGCAAAAAGAGCAGCAAAAAUACACAAAAAUGUGACCAUGAGCCUCUUCCAAACCUUAGGGACUACGCUCAUAACCUUGGCGAAAGUGACUUCUCUCCCUGUAUAAAUGCAAGCAAUGGUGUAAACAAC
Molecule: unclassified non-coding RNA, 839 nt
Filed under: Hevea brasiliensis (rubber tree)
Lineage: Eukaryota; Viridiplantae; Streptophyta; Magnoliopsida; Malpighiales; Euphorbiaceae
Source: RNAcentral